GUCAGAUGAAGUCAUGAGGACCAGGCCCUCAUGAGGAGAUUAGGGCUUUUAUAUAAGACGAAGAAGAUCUCUCUUCCUUUCUCUGAGCCAUGUGGAGGCACAGUGAGAAGUCAUCCAGCUACAAGCCAGGAAGAAAAUCCUCACCAGAUCCUGAUGCUGUAACCUUAAUGCUAGACUUCUAACCGCUGGACUAUAAGAAAUUCCACUGUCCAACUUACCAAAUAUGGUAUUUUGCUGUGACUGUCUGAGCUAAGACAGAUGUGUAUUUCUUUCAAAGGGACAGCUCUUUACAGAGGCCCAGAAAGGAGCUUGGUGGCCACAGAUGAGCAUGGAGAGGGAAGGUUUUCCUCACCCUAGACCUUCACAAAAGAUGGAAGACAAACAACAGAGUGUCCCUUCUCCCAACCUUGUCUAAUCUUUUCAUAAUUCAAGAUCGGAAAGCUGCUGUAACCCUGGCCUCUGUGCUGUACUCAUUCCCAUGUGUGCUUGGCAGAGCAAACAGUUCCAUUUCCCAGGACGCCAGUGAGCAGGGACCUGACUGCCCGGCUUUGGAGAACCCUAAGGGAUCUAUUAGGGGAAAGACAUAGACAUCUGCAUGCGGAUGCACGUAUGUUUGCACAAAUACUCCUCCAGCUCAGGACAGUGCUUACUGAAUCCUUGGAGGUGAGUUUAUCCCCCACCCCUCGUGCUUCCGCUACACUCUGUACUUGCUCUGUACUAUGUGC
RNAcentral lists this long non-coding RNA (725 nucleotides) under Fukomys damarensis (Damara mole-rat). RNAcentral describes it as "lncRNA (ENSFDAG00000024933.1)". The record is from RNAcentral. Lineage: Eukaryota; Metazoa; Chordata; Mammalia; Rodentia; Bathyergidae.